CAAUAGCGUAUAUUAAAGCUGUUGCGGUUAAAGAGCUCGUAGUUGGAUUUCUGUCAAGGACAACUGGUCCGCCCUCCGGGUGAGCACAUAGUUUGGUCUUGGCAUCUUGCUGGAAGCUGUUGCUGCACUUGGCUGUGUGGCGCAGCGUCCAGCACUUUCACUUUGAGGAAAUUGGAGUGUUUCAAGCAGGCACAUGCCUUUGGACACAGUAGCAUGGAAUAAUUAGAUUGGGCUUUUGCUCCAAUUUGUCGGUUUCUGGAGCUGAGGUGAGAAUUAAUGGGGAUUGUUGGGGGCAUCCGAAUUUAGCCGUCAGAGGUGAAAUUCUUGGAUCUGCUAAAGACGGACAACUGCGAAAGCGUUUGCCCAGGAUGUUUUCAUUGA
Molecule: ribosomal RNA, 381 nt
Filed under: uncultured eukaryote
Lineage: Eukaryota
Description: partial 18S ribosomal RNA
Rfam family: Eukaryotic small subunit ribosomal RNA
Source: RNAcentral